Molecule: ribosomal RNA, 504 nt
Filed under: Prypnus sp. 1 MVD-2017
Lineage: Eukaryota; Metazoa; Arthropoda; Insecta; Coleoptera; Curculionidae
Description: partial 16S ribosomal RNA
Rfam family: Bacterial large subunit ribosomal RNA
Source: RNAcentral
CUGCCCAAUGAGGAUUUAAAUGGCCGCGGUAUUUUGACCGUGCAAAGGUAGCAUAAUCAUUAGUUUUUUAAUUGAAAGCUGGAAUGAAAGGUUGGAUGAGAAAAUAGCUGUCUCUAUUAAAUUUAGUUAGAAUUUUAUUUUUAAGUAAAAAAGCUUAAAUAAAAAUAGAAGACGAGAAGACCCUAUAGAGUUUGAUUAAUUAAUUUUAAAAUUUUUUUGGUAUUAAUAUUUAUUUUAAGAAAAAUUAAUUUAGUUGGGGUGAUUGAAAAAUUUAAAAAACUUUUUUUUUAUUUGAACAUUAAUUUAUGAAUAAUUGAUCCUUAAGUAAAGAUUAAAAGAAAAAAUUACCUUAGGGAUAACAGCGUAAUUUUUCUAGAGAGUUCAAAUCGAAAGAAAAGAUUGCGACCUCGAUGUUGGAUUAAAAUAAAAUUUUGGUGUAGAAGCUAAAAUAUUUGGGUCUGUUCGACCCUUAAAAUUUUACAUGAUCUGAGUUUAAACCGGUGU